Molecule: long non-coding RNA, 5230 nt
Organism: Biomphalaria glabrata
Lineage: Eukaryota; Metazoa; Mollusca; Gastropoda; Planorbidae
Exons: 3
Source: RefSeq, a predicted model, not a curated record
ACACCUACAGCAGACAUGCCUAUAGACCCGCAUUAUGCGGAAACGGCCCGCAAAAUCAUCAAAAAAGCUCACAUGUUCCGCCGUUCCGCAUUCACGAUUUUUUGUUCCGCCAAGUCUGAAUUCCGACACUAAAAAAAAAUUGACAUUUUAUCAUUAUUUAUUAAUAGUGCGAAUUGAAAAUACUGAGUGCAAAAUAAAAUAUAUAUAGGUCUGUGUUUAUUGUUUACAUUUCAUCUACUUCCGGACCCGGUGUGUCCUAAAUUUACGAAGAAAUUGUUGAAGACUAGAUCUAGAUUCUAGAUCUAGUUCUAGACAUAGAUCUCUAGAUCUACUGAUCUAGUAGUCUAGGUCUAGAUAUUACAAUUAGAUCUAUUCUUAGAAUCUACUAAGUGCUAUUUACUAAUUAGCCAAAUAUUCCAUUCAAAUCCCUUUCUUUUCACGACAAUGGCUCUACUACAGUACUCUACUAGAUUUUAGAUCUAGAAUCUAUCUGAUCAUUCUAUCAUCACCAAUGACAUCAAUGAUCAUCUAGUCCUAGACAAUCUAGAAUCUAGUCUUAGUCUAGACUCUAGGCUACUAGAUAGGUCUAGGUCACUAGACUUCUAGAUCUAAAAUCUAGACUAGAUUUAGAUUAGAAUGAAUAGAUUUCAAUAGAUCUAAUCUAGUCUAGAUUGUUUUUUAGAUUUUAGAUGAUUUGAUUAUUUUUGAUAGAUCAAAUAGAUCUGACUAUUCUAAUUCUAACACUAACUCCUUGAACUGGUUUCUAAGUAAUCUAAGAAACUUUCAAAAGGAUUUAAAAAAAAAAACGUUAUUAAAGAUCUAGACCUAAAUUAAUUAAUUAACUUGACUUAGACUUAGACACAGUGUCACACAGUAAGUCUAAGGCCUAAAUAAGGCUAUAAGAUCUACUUUUCUUAUUACAUAGUCUAAAUUAGUUUCUAGAUCUAGAAGUAGGGCUAGCACUAGAUAACUAGAUCUAGAUUAAUCUAGAAGUAGACUCUAGAUCUAUCUAGAAAUAGACUUAGAAGGUGAUAGAUCUCUAGAUUCUAGAUUUCUAUGUAUCAUUAUGUAAAUUUAGUUCUUAAUAAGUCUAUUAUAGACUAUAGAUUUAGACAUAAAUAUUUAGAUCUCUAAUAUAAUUAUUACAAUCUGUGUUCUUAGACAUAGAGGACUUAUUAGAUAUAGAUUAUAGAUCUAGACUAGUACUAGUAGACUCUUAAAUUAUUUUAGAUCUAGAACUAUAUACAAGAUCUAGUGUGACUAGAGUAGAGCCCUAGAAUUAGAAAAGAAUAGAUAAUCAAGUAGAUCUAGAAUAAUCUAGACUAGAUUUCACUAGAUCUAGUCAAUAGAUUUAGACCUAGUAGUAACAAAUAAAAAUUGUUUGUUUUUUUAGUUUUUGUUCUUUAGGAGGGUUUUUGGGCCAAAGUCUUGUUCGGGUCUCUUGAUUUAGAAUGCACCAUUGAAGGACAUGGUCAGCAUUCUCUGGUGAUGGGCAAGUUUCUCUAGUCCCGACAUUUAACUUCCAGAACAUAUAUUGUCUCAUUCAGUGAACAAGCCUUUUCCUUUGUGGAAACUAAACAAGCAUUACUACUGGUCGAUUUUGACUGACUGUAAUUUGACAGCAGUCACAAGGAUAGAAACUAGUAAGCUAGUUCCACAGUUCCGAAACAUCAUGCACGAGUGUAAAAAGUAAAAUACUGCACAUUAAGUACAACUGUAUAUUUGUCAGGAUAUUUUAAUGUAAAAUGACAACAGCAAUUUGAAAAAAAAAAAAGUAAAAUUGGUUUAAAUAAUUGCUAACUCUUGUUGUAAUUCCUUAACGUGAAGUGUGGGGAAAAAAAAAGAAACGUGAAUAUAAUACAGUGUAAAUAUGAAUUAAAAGACAUUCUACACAGUUAUCUUAGAGUGUCUCUAUAAGUUGUAUAUAAAUAUGCGGGCCGCCAUUCCCAAUUUUUAAAAUAAUGCGGCCCUCGAUACAAAAAAGUUGCCCACCCCUGAUCUAAGAUAUUCAUGUACUGUUUUGGAUGUUAUGUAUGUCGACAUAUCCGAUUUGAUUUUCUGGCCCAAUAAGGAGAGUCUCAGGCCCAAAAAAUUUAUUUGUACUUAUGACAGGAAGAUGACAGUAAUAAAUGACUGUUUUGAAAUUUUCAUUGAGAGACCUAUCAGCGUUAAAGCACAGGCACAAACCUAUUCUUCCUAUUAGCACAACACAGUAAAAUAUCUGAUUGGAACUCAUUACUUUCAAUAAAUGAAUUAAAAGUAUUUAUACUAAGCUUUAUAGUUUCUUUGGAUUUAAUAGCCUUUAAAUUUUUAUUUUUAGAAGUGAUGUUGUUCACAAGAGAAUCAAAUUUAACUUUUUGUUUUUUAAUGAGGUGAUAUCAAUCUCAGAAACCUUAGUUGGCAAAACUUUUUUAAGCUCUGAUGGAUUUAUCCAGUAAGAUAACAAGCCUGUAACUGUCUUACUCUCUUUUAGCCUGGUGUUGGCUUCCAGCAUAAAUAAAGUGUCUGCCACAUUUCUUCUUCUUCUUCAUCGUUCUCAUUGUUAUGUUGGAGUGUUCAUAUGACUAGACCAGUACAUGAGAUGAACUGCGCAGUGGUUUCCAAAUCAGGGAGCUCUCCAUAUAGUUUUCUUUCUAUUGGGGUGAUUUGGGGCCAAUGUCUUAUGCAGGCCUCUUGGUAGAGAGAGCAGUUUUGGAGGACGUGGUCGGCAUUUUCUGGUGAUACUCCACAUGGGCAGAUUUCACUGGUUCCAAUUUUGAGCUUCCGGAACAUGUGUUGUCGCAUUCUGUUGUGUCCAGUCCUGAGUCAAAAGAUUAGACGUUGGUCUUGUCGGGAUAGCUUAUAGUAAGCGUCAUCUUUCUUGUGAUUUGGAUGGGAGUUCGUCCAUUUCUCAUUUAUUUUAUCUACAAUUAAUUUCUUCAUUUCUUCUGGAUAGAGUGCAGAGUUUACUUGUGAGUUUGUUCUCCCACUCUUGGCGAGUGUGUCAGCCUUCUCAUUUCCUGCUAGUUGUAUGUGAGCUGGUAUCCAUUGGAUAACAGUUUUUUUGCUGUUGUUGUUGAGCUUUGUAAGUGCUGUUCUGAGGUUUUUAAUAUGAGGGGAAUCAGAGUUUUGCAAGCUUUGGAGGGUUGUUUUCACAUCUGUUAGAAAGACAAUCUGACUGUGAGGGGAACUUGGAUGAUUUGCUAACAUGGUAGCAGCUAGUGCUAGUGCUUCCCUUUCUGCUCUGUGACUGUCAGAGAACUCUCCAGUUGCAAUGGAUUUUUCUAGUUUUCCUCCAUCUGGCCAUUCGAUAAGUAUUCCAGCUCCUCCAUUUGUGGUGGCUUUAUGGGAUGAGCCAUCCGUGUAAACUCUGAUCCACUAAUUGCUAGGGUAAUUGGUAUGUAGAAAACAGUUCACUAUUUCCUUGAGCUCUGUUGGUCUGUAAUCAGAUUUUCUUUUUAUGUUUUCAAUAUGGUCCCUUGUAGUAGGAAGAGGGCUUUCAUCCCAGGGUAGAGAUUCAUUAUAGUGUAUUGAGGAUUCCAGAGUAAUUUUUUCAAGUUGGUGUUUCUUUUUUAGGUUUAGAGAUUCCUGUAUGAAAUUGGUCCUUUUGAGACGUUUUUUUGUGCCAGUUUUGUGGAUUUUUGUUCUGAGUGGAUGCCUCUCCAAGGUUUCCAAUUUAGUGAAUUGGGAAAGGAUUUUUAUUUCUCUUCUUUCAUCCAGAGAGAUCAGGGCAGCGGUUUCCUCCAUAGCUCUUAUGGGUGUUGUGUUGUUUUUGUUGCUCCUGUCAUUAUCCUUUGACCAAUAUUUUGAACCUUGUCUAUUUUUCUUAGGUUGGUUUGGGCAUGCUGUGGCACCAUACAGGUCUUACAUAACUGGUAUAGGUCUUUGUCAGGAUGUUGUGAUUAGCUCCCCAAUCUGUGCCAGCUAAUUUUAUCAAGAGGGAUAGUCUCUGUAUGCCUUUACUCUCUGUUUUAUCUAUUUGGUUUUUCCCGCUUAGUCUCGGGUCAUAGGUGACUCCAAGAUAAGUAGGGCUGUCAUUUUUUUCUAAAGCUUCCAAAUCUAAUGUUAAUUUUAUUGUUUGUUGUUUUGUUGACAGUAAGAAUAUGGUAUAUGUGGUCUUUUUUGUGUUGAUGGACAUGCCCCAGUCUUUGGACCAAUUAUUGAGUUUAUCAAGAGCAUCUUGUAAUCGAAAUUUCGAUGUUCCUACAUAUUCUUCUGUGCUAAUUAAGGCAAGGUCAUCUGCAUACAUGCUGCUUUUAACUUUUCUAGGAUUUUACAUGUGAUGCUGGUAAGCAUAUGCCCUGCACUCUACAUUCGAUCUUGUCACUGGUUACCCUGCAGACAGAGACAAAGAAUAUGAACAUUUGCAAAGUUGCACUAUAUCUCCAGGGUUACCAGUAAAUAGAAAUACUGUUUCAGCAAGUAAUAUUUUCAUUUCUAAUUAUAGUAAAAAAAAAAAGUAAAGUUCACCUUUCAGACCUUGCAGUCUAUAGGGCAGAUGAUGAAAAGGUAAUCUUUUUCUGUGGCCCACAGUUAACAAGGGUAUCAUGAGGCCAGCACAAUGACCAACCGCCUUUACUUUUCCCAACUAAUGUCAGGUACCCAUUAGAGCUUGGACGCAAAGGCCCCCAAAGAUCCUGAAAUUAAAAAUUGCAGCCUUUACCAGGAUUCGAACUUGGGACACCCAGCUCAGAAGCCAAGGGCUUACUGCUCAUCCAUUGCACCUCCAUUUCUAAUUAUACAAUUAUGAAUAUGUCAAAGAAUGAGGGAAAAAGAACUAUAACCUUUUUUUUCUCCCACAAUAACAAUGACCUUAUCAGUCACCUGCAACUAGGGAUCAUCUCAUGGAAAUUAGAGGAUGGCCUGGACAUUAGCUAUGGUCAGAACAAUGUUGUUUUCCUUCUAGAUGGAUGGCAAGCUAAGGCUAAUGAGCCUAUCCUACCUGAAGAUUACCUGGCUUAGUUGCCAGUUGUUCAACUUUGCCCCUUCAUUCAACAGAUGAAGUCAACUUCAUACAGAAUCUAGUUUUUUAUGUGGAGAGAGCUUAUAGAACACCUGACUAUGAGCUUAUAGAACACCUGGGAAAGAGGAAAUAUAAAAAUAAAAGCACAGAGAUUCAUGCCAGGUAAAUAUAACAAUAAGGACAGAGAGCCUGAUAAUUAUAACAAUGGAGAUACAUGCUGGUAACUUAAACAAUGGAAGAAUAGAGAUGCAUGCUUACUAGAUAUAACAAUGGUAAAAAAAGAUAACA